RNAcentral lists this transfer RNA (72 nucleotides) under Culex quinquefasciatus (southern house mosquito). It matches the Rfam family "tRNA". Rfam says of the family: Transfer RNA (tRNA) molecules are approximately 80 nucleotides in length. Their secondary structure includes four short double-helical elements and three loops (D, anti-codon, and T loops). Further hydrogen bonds mediate the characteristic L-shaped molecular structure. tRNAs have two regions of fundamental functional importance: the anti-codon, which is responsible for specific mRNA codon recognition, and the 3' end, to which the tRNAs corresponding amino acid is attached (by aminoacyl-tRNA synthetases). tRNAs cope with the degeneracy of the genetic code in two manners: having more than one tRNA (with a specific anti-codon) for a particular amino acid; and 'wobble' base-pairing, i.e. permitting non-standard base-pairing at the 3rd anti-codon position. Lineage: Eukaryota; Metazoa; Arthropoda; Insecta; Diptera; Culicidae. The record is from Rfam by way of RNAcentral.
GCAGCCGUGACUGACUGGUUACGGUGUUCGCUUGUAAGCGAAAGAUCCUGGGUUCGAUUCCCAUCUGCUCCA